AUUGAACGCUGGCGGCAGGCCUAACACAUGCAAGUCGAGCGGAGAGGCGGACGGGUGAGUAAUGCCUAGGAAUUUGCCUGGUAGUGGGGGAUAACGUCCGGACACGGGCGCUUUUACCGCAUAAUCUCAGGUGACCCUCGGUGGGAUGAGCUAGAUGGUGGGGUAAUGGCCGACCAAGGCGACGAACCGUAUCUGGCCUGAGAGGAUGAUCAGUCACACUGGGACUGAGACACGGCCCAGAAUCCUACGGGAGGCAGCAGUGGGGAAUUUUGGACAAUGGGGGAAACCCUGAUCCAGCCACGCCGAGUGAAUGAAGAAGGCCUUCGGGUUGUAAAGUACUUUUGGUAGAGAAGCGGUAUCUGCAGAAUAAGCACCGGCUAACUACGUGCCAGCAGCCGCGGUAAUAC
This 407-nucleotide ribosomal RNA is filed under the name uncultured bacterium. RNAcentral describes it as "partial 16S ribosomal RNA". It matches the Rfam family "Bacterial small subunit ribosomal RNA", at positions 30 to 526 of the family's 1533-position model. The record is from RNAcentral.